AACUCUAUUUUUAGGAAAGAUUGAAUUGCAAAUUUGGUUAGAAGUUAGGAACUUUAGAGUUU
RNAcentral lists this transfer RNA (62 nucleotides) under Pseudoneureclipsis sibuyana. RNAcentral's name for it is "tRNA-Cys". The record is from RNAcentral. Lineage: Eukaryota; Metazoa; Arthropoda; Insecta; Trichoptera; Polycentropodidae.